RNAcentral lists this ribosomal RNA (496 nucleotides) under uncultured bacterium. RNAcentral describes it as "partial 16S ribosomal RNA". It matches the Rfam family "Bacterial small subunit ribosomal RNA", at positions 28 to 506 of the family's 1533-position model. The record is from RNAcentral.
GACGAACGCUGGCGGCGUGCCUAAUACAUGCAAGUCGAGCGAAGAGGCUUGGUGCUUGCACCGAUUUGGAGAGCAGCGAACGGGUGAGUAACGCGAGGAGAAUCUGCCUUUGAGCGGGGGACAACAAUUGGAAACGAAUGAUAAUACCGCAUAACAACUUGAAACAUAAGGGUUAAGUUUGAAAGAUGCAAUUGCGUCACGCACAGGUGAUCCCGCGUUGUAUUAGUUAGUUGGUGAGGUAAAGGGUCACCAAGGCGAUGAUUCGUAGCCGACCUGAGAGGGGGAUCGGCCACAUGGGGACGGAGACACGGCCAUAGCUCCUACGGGACGCAGCAGUAGGGAAUCGGCGGCAAUGGACGAAAGUCUGACCGAGCAACGGCGCGUGAGUUAAGGAGGCUUUGGGUUCGUAAAACUCUGUUGGUAGAGAAGAACGGUUGUGGGAGUGGAAGGAGCAUCAAGUGACGGUAACGACACAGAAAGGCACGCUUAAUUACUU